RNAcentral lists this transfer RNA (76 nucleotides) under archaeon. RNAcentral's name for it is "tRNA-Ala". It matches the Rfam family "tRNA". Rfam says of the family: Transfer RNA (tRNA) molecules are approximately 80 nucleotides in length. The record is from RNAcentral. RNAcentral also lists the same sequence under 1 other name.
GGGCUGGUGGCUCAGCUGGUAGAGCACUACCUCGGCAUGGUAGGGGCCGCGCGUUCGAAUCGCGCCCAGUCCACCA